This 253-nucleotide ribosomal RNA is filed under the name uncultured bacterium. RNAcentral's name for it is "partial 16S ribosomal RNA". It matches the Rfam family "Bacterial small subunit ribosomal RNA", at positions 524 to 776 of the family's 1533-position model. The record is from RNAcentral.
UACGUAGGGGGCAAGCGUUGUCCGGAUUUAUUGGGCGUAAAGAGCGUGUAGGCGGUCAGGUAGGUCCGUUGUGAAAACUCGGGGCUUAACCCCGAGCCUGCUUCUGAUACGGGCAGACUAGAGGUAUGCAGGGGAGAACGGAAUUCCUGGUGUAGCGGUGAAAUGCGCAGAUAUCAGGAGGAACACCGGUGGCGAAGGCGGUUCUCUGGGCAUUACCUGACGCUGAGGAGCGAAAGUGUGGGGAGCGAACAGG